This is a non-coding RNA of Phalacrocorax carbo (great cormorant), 1809 nucleotides long. NCBI's taxonomy places the organism in Eukaryota, Metazoa, Chordata, Aves, Suliformes, Phalacrocoracidae. The record is from RefSeq and is a predicted model, not a curated record.
CCUCCCCCGCUGCCAUCGGGGAGGCGGCGGCCGCCGCGCUCAAUCCGCGCCAAGGACGGGGGCUGAGGGGUGCCGCUGCCCCGCCCCGGCUCCCCCGCCUCCUCCCCGGGGCCGUCAUUGCUGACCCGCCGCGGCACCGGUGUGCUGCGGCCGCCUGACGGGGGGAGGGAAACGCUGGCUCGUCCCUUUUUUUGUGCUGACGGCGGCAGGGCCGGGCAGGGCAUGGCGGGCGGGUGGGGGCAUCGGUGCUGAGGGAGCCGGUCCGGGGCCGGCCGGCAGCGGCCGCCCAGCCCCGGCCGGGGGCCGGUUCAGCGGCGGUCGGUCGGUGCCGUGGGCCUCCGCGCCGCGAGCCGGGCACCGCGCCUGGGGUGGCCGCCACCCCCACGGGCGGCCUCGCAGGCGUCUCCUGAGUGUACUGUCACGAUCCGCUACGAGGUGGGGAAGCACGAGCUCCGUUUCACGGGGCCGUUGGCUUGGCCAGGAGGCGCGUGCGGAGGAAUCGCUGCCAGCGGCAAGAAGUUGCGCAGAAUUCGAGGAUUUUACGCGAUCUUCUUCCGCGGUAGAGUUGCUCAAGUCGGUGGUAUCUGAUUUUCAUGCUCUCUGACUUUUGUCCUGCAGCUGACUUCGGUUGAAUUAUUUGUGGUUGAACGAAUCUCGACGGGACAAUGGCUCGCCUGGAGUCACGCACAAACGCUUUGGCAGGGACGAGGAAUGUAACCUGACACAGUGCCACAACCGCUCCUUCUCCCCCGCCGUCUGCAUCGGCCCUAUCCACCUCACGCUCUGUCCAGCUAUUUCGCCAUAUCCCCGGAGAGCAUCAUUUUAAAACUGUAAUACACUUCAAAACUGUAAUACAGGGGAAUGAGCCCCUGGACCGUGAAUGGAAUUUUGUGCCUUGUUAAAGUAAUAAGCACAUCCAUCACUAUGAUGGAGGACUGAGACACAGAGAGGUGAAAAGAUCUCCCGAAGGUCACACAGGAAGUCUCUUGGUGACAGGUCACGGUUUCAAAGUUCAACUCCAGUUUGGCAACGCUAGCAUUUUUGUUGAAGCACAGGUUUCCAGAAAAACAAACCCUAGUGUUAAGGGACACAGUCUAAAUAAAUUUGCCUGGUAACCUUCAUGCAAUUACAACAUUUUUUGUGUGUGUGUACAUUUUAAUCACAUCUAACUUUUGGUUUGUAUACAAAGUCUGUAAUUAGGUAAGUCUGAGAUACUCCACCACUUGCAUCUGUCCCAUCAUCUUCCCAAAACACAAGAAAUUAGACAGGAUUUCCCUGCUGUUUCUUUUUUCAAAACUGCAAUUAAACCUGAUUAGAAACAGAGAUCUCACUUGAAAAACUCCAAUAAUGGAACCCCUCCCACAGCACAAUGUUGAGAGUCUGAUGGCCACAGUCUGAUGGUGGCCAUACCAAGGUAGUAAACAUCAUGAAGAAUAUAACCUAGGAAGGGAAGGAGCCCAUUACACCACAAGAACAUGGGACAUAGGCCUGGUGGCAGGAGAACAGAAAGUAAAAGGUGAUCUUUUGUCACUGUGUUAGACCUGGUAGGUCAGGUCAUCAGACUACAGGAUGGAUAUGCUCGUUAUUUCACAUGGCUGUAAUGGAGAACAAAGAACUAGUUGUCCAGUUUUGCAAAAUACAGAGAGCUGAAUUAAUCUGCUGGAAACCACGAAGUGCUGAUGCACACGCAGUGCUUGCAGACGCCAAGUUAAAACUCUGGUCCACCUGUAUUUUAAUUCUGUGCUUAUUCAUCUGGAAUUUCCAUUUGAAGGGAAAAUAUAUCACACAAUAAAGAAAAACAGUCUUGGA